Molecule: ribosomal RNA, 97 nt
Filed under: cyanobacterium GSM_I_36B_cl_11_3
Lineage: Bacteria; Bacillati; Cyanobacteriota
Description: partial 23S ribosomal RNA
Source: RNAcentral
GGGUCAAACCAGCCAGCACCUUGAAAACUGCAUAAGCAAAGCGAAAACAAGUGGUCAAGAUAAUCAGGGCUGACGGUGGAUACCUAGGCACACAGAG